CUGACAUUAGAUACCCGUGUAGUCCAGGGUGUAAACGCUGCAGACUUGGUGUUGGGGGCCCUUUGGGGGCAUUCAGUGCCGGAGAGAAGUUGUUAAGUCUGCUACUUGGGAGUACGUCCGCAAGGAUGAAACUUAAAGGAAUUGGCGGGGGAGCACCGCAACGGGAGGAGCGUGCGGUUUAAUUGGAUUCAACACCGUAAACUCACCAGGGAAGACUGUUACAUGAAGGCCGAGAUGAAGACUCUGCUAGAUUUUCAG
RNAcentral lists this ribosomal RNA (258 nucleotides) under uncultured archaeon. RNAcentral describes it as "partial 16S ribosomal RNA". It matches the Rfam family "Archaeal small subunit ribosomal RNA", at positions 725 to 982 of the family's 1478-position model. The record is from RNAcentral.